This 1390-nucleotide long non-coding RNA is filed under the name Volvox carteri. RNAcentral describes it as "long non-coding RNA (VCAR_LNC002194)". The record is from RNAcentral. Lineage: Eukaryota; Viridiplantae; Chlorophyta; Chlorophyceae; Chlamydomonadales; Volvocaceae.
ACGACACUUUGUUACACCCCGACAAGGCAUUUUUUGUUGGACGAACCAUUGAAUCCUGCUACCUUUCCCAAACGGUAACCGCCCAGACCAACCAAUGCUACAGCGCCAUGCUCGAAUUAGUGUAUCCGCAAUGACAAACUUAUACCACAGCAUUAAACAUCGCUCCUCCUCCACAGUUAAGCAAAACGAGCCUCCUGUAACGACUGCAACAACAGUCAUCCACUCACCGACGAUUUCACUAGAGGACAGCACAGAAUAAGAAGCAUAUGAGCCGAUGCAAACCAUCUCCCCUUGCAAAACCUUUGAUGCGCAAGUCUUGGACGAAAAAUGUCGCAAUGCGACUUCUACACCGAGAAUCUUCUCUGUUUCAGGACGUGGCCAUCCGCAUUCUAAGAAGAGUUUCAUCUUUAUACAAAAGACGAUACUUUUCACAAAAGAAAUAUGAAACUGUGCACGCGCGACAAGUGUGCAAUCCUAGAGAGCAAUCCCAGAGACGUCCCCAACGUCCCUAAGCGAGGGAUUAUCAUAGAUCACCUCCUGGUCAAAUAUACAUGCGUAUCAAGGCCAGCCAGGAACGCAUCAGCUGCUGCGUCCUCCUGUCGUCAUCGACGAGCCAAAGCGGUUAACGCAACUAUAUGUCAAGCAAAAAAAGCAGGGCACAAUUACGAUAAACCUAGAUUCUGGCCAAAAACUGCAAGGUAUGUAUUUUGUAUUUGCUCACCCGAAAGCCCGCUUCACAUGAAAUGUCCCACGUUCCGGAGCCCUGGGCUAAACUGACGCUACGGAAGCGAUCAUUUCCCCGAUAUUCUUCAGCAACCGACGUUUUGUAAAGCGCAGCUUCACCGGAAGCGAAAAAGUAUCCUCCCUUUCCACAGGGAAGACGGAAAAGAAAAAGAUAACUAUAUAUUAUCACAGUGCACACGUCGCAAAAGGACGCGCAGGCGAGCUUCAUGUUUAAGUUGCCAUAAUAUACAUCAAGAUACAACGCGAGGGCGCACGAGAACCAAUCCGCGAACAGGGAAUUGACGACGGCCAAGCCUCUACAUCAUCGCAAGCCGCAGCUUCCUCGCGUCGAUGUUAGUAACUUACAUCACCAGGCCCAAGCUGAUCCCAACGACGCACUCGACGUCGUGUCUUUCUCGCCUCGGACCAGCAGCACCGAGGGCAACAGGCACUCACCCAAAAAGGGAGCGCCCUCGCAAAGGCCGCCGGAUGUCAACAUAUCGACGUGUAGAAGCAAACGCUGCCUCUCCGCCUCGGCCCCUCUUUUACUAACGCGCCUCCCUCAUGGCCUUCCGGUGCCGUCGCUAUCAACCCUCCGCCCGCGCAGUCGCGCCGUCAAAAAGCUGCUGCUGCUGCUGCUAUCGUCGCCGCCGUUGUUAUAGCGCCC